GCCGGGCUAGCUCAAUCGGUAGAGCGUGAGACUCUUAUUGCAGGCGUGCGAAAUCUCAAGGUUGUGGGUUCGACCCCCACGUUCGGCU
Hydnum rufescens UP504 is the source of this 88-nucleotide non-coding RNA. NCBI's taxonomy places the organism in Eukaryota, Fungi, Basidiomycota, Agaricomycetes, Cantharellales, Hydnaceae. The record is from the annotation of a GenBank genome assembly.